GUGAGAUAUCUACCCAAUCAUUAGCCCCUUUUAAAUUGGAUUGUUCAAUUUCUUGCUAUUGAGUUUUAAGAAUUAUUUAUAUAUUUUGGAUAUAGAUGUUUUUAGAUGUGGCUUUUGCAAAUAUUUUCUUAGUCUGUGUUGCCUUCUCAUUCUCUUGGCAUUAUCUUUUGUAAAGCAGAAGAAUUAAGAAUUUGAAAAGUAACAAAGUGGAUUUAUGUACCUGGAAGGGAUAUUAGCUGGUGGGAGAAACAAUUUCAAAGGAUUAAAUGAGUUUAGGGUUUUCAUCUAUAGGUGAUGAAAUAGUGGGUAGUUGUGAUAUCUGUGUGUGUGUAGGAUGGUCAAGGUGACAGGCUUUGCCUAAUAGCAGCUUGUCAAGGCAUCUGGAAUGUAGUUUAUUAAUAGUGUGAGUUAGGGGCCCCACACCUUCUUACUGAGGGAUUGUUAGACAAGUACACUUAAUAACAAACCAUUGCUCAUGCUUCCUUAAUUGUUUCUCAAGAGGGUUAAUUUUGUUGACAUUUUCAAAUAACAACUUCAGGAUUUAUAUACAUUAUUUGAAUUUCUUUUCAAUGUUUAAAACAUUUUCAUUAAUUUCAACUUUAAUUUGUAUCUGUUUUCUAUGUUUUAACUUCGUUCUUUUCCUUAUCUUAAUUAAAAGCACUAGUUUCCAUUUUUUUCACAAUAAAGAUAUUUAAGGUUAUACAUUUCCACCUAAUUAUAGCCUAACAGCACCCUAAACAUUUUGGCAUGAAUUAUUAGAUUAUAAUUUUGCUUUUAUUUUCUCUUUGAUUAUUUAGGUGGCUGGGUACAUUCCAAGUAAAGGUUGUUCUGUGAUUUUUGUUUUUGUUAUUGGCAAUUUAAAGUUACUUUUAAUUGUAUUGUAGUGUGACCUGAGAAUAUAACCUAGUAAUGCAUUUACUUUUCAAAAUUGUUUGUUGUCGUGUGAGGAAUUUUUUUUUUUUAAACUGGGCAUUAAACACAAGGCCUUGUGCUUGCUUAGCGAGAAUUCUACCACUAGCUGUAACUCCAACCUUUUUAAGUUUUUGAGACAGUGUCUCACUAAGUUGCCUAGAUUGGCCUUGAAUUUGUGAUACUCCUGCCUCAGCUUGCUGAUUACAGGCCUGGUGCAAGAUUUGUUUGUUUGUUUGUUUGUUAGUUAGUUGGUACCAGGGAUUGAACCCAGGGGUGUUCUACUGAACCACAUCCCCAGCCCUUUUUUAUAUUUUAUUUAGAGAUAGGGUCUUUUGAACUCACAAUCCUCCUGCCUCAGACUCCCUAGAUGCUGGGAUUACAGGUGUGCAGCACCGCACCUGGCCACAAGAUAUAUUUUUUAAGUGAUUUCAGUAAUACAAAAAAUCUUUUUCUUUAGUUGUAGGGUGCAAAAUUGUGUGUGUGUGUGUGUGUGUGUGUGUGUGUGUGUAGAGAAAGAGCAAAGUUGAUUAAUUUCCUCUAUGUAUUUCUAGACAGGUUCUCUAUGUAGGGCAGAUCUGGA
Molecule: long non-coding RNA, 1492 nt
Filed under: Marmota monax (woodchuck)
Lineage: Eukaryota; Metazoa; Chordata; Mammalia; Rodentia; Sciuridae
Source: RNAcentral